RNAcentral lists this unclassified non-coding RNA (326 nucleotides) under soil metagenome. Its description in RNAcentral is "partial contains 5.8S ribosomal RNA, internal transcribed spacer 2, and large subunit ribosomal RNA". The stretch from base 1 to 120 matches the Rfam family "5.8S ribosomal RNA", at positions 35 to 154 of the family's 154-position model. The record is from RNAcentral.
GAUGAAGAACGUAGCGAAAUGCGAUAAGUAGUGUGAAUUGCAGAAUUUAGUGAAUCAUCGAAUCUUUGAACGCACAUUGCGCCCUAUAGUAUUCUGUAGGGCAUGCCUGUUCGAGCGUUAUUGAGACCUCAAGCUCUGCUUGGAAAUGGGCGCUUGUCUUGCCUUGCAGACUCGCCUUAAAACCAUUGGCAGCUGAUUUACAAUGUUUGGUGCACAGUACAUGAGCCCAAGUGUUGCAAUGAGUGGCCCAAAAGUAUACAAUAGAAGCUUAACCUCGGAUCAGGUAGGGAUACCCGCUGAACUUAAGCAGAUCAAUAAGCGGAGGA